RNAcentral lists this ribosomal RNA (413 nucleotides) under uncultured bacterium. RNAcentral describes it as "bacterial SSU rRNA". It matches the Rfam family "Bacterial small subunit ribosomal RNA", at positions 342 to 754 of the family's 1533-position model. The record is from RNAcentral.
CGGGAGGCAGCAGUGAGGAAUAUUGGUCAAUGGGCGCGAGCCUGAACCAGCCAAGUCGCGUGAGGGAUGAAGGUUUAUGGAUCGUAAACCUCUUUUAUAAGGGAAUAAGUGCGGGACGUGUCCCGUUUUGUAUGUACCUUAUGAAUAAGGAUCGGCUAACUCCGUGCCAGCAGCCGCGGUAAUACGGAGGAUCCGAGCGUUAUCCGGAUUUAUUGGGUUUAAAGGGUGCGUAGGCGGCCUUUUAAGUCAGCGGUGAAAGUCUGUGGCUCAACCAUAGAAUUGCCGUUGAAACUGGGAGGCUUGAGUAUGUUUGAGGCAGGCGGAAUGCGUGGUGUAGCGGUGAAAUGCUUAGAUAUCACGCAGAACCCCGAUUGCGAAGGCAGCCUGCCAAGCCAUGACUGACGCUGAUGCAC